AUUGAACGCUGGCGGCAUGCCUUACACAUGCAAGUCGAACGGCAGCACGGGAGUAAUCCUGGUGGCGAGUGGCGAACGGGUGAGUAAUAUAUCGGAACGUGCCCAGUCGUGGGGGAUAACGCAGCGAAAGCUGUGCUAAUACCGCAUACGAUCUACGGAUGAAAGCGGGGGAUCGCAAGACCUCGCGCGAUUGGAGCGGCCGAUAUCAGAUUAGCUAGUUGGUGGGGUAAAGGCCCACCAAGGCGACGAUCUGUAGCUGGUCUGAGAGGACGACCAGCCACACUGGAACUGAGACACGGUCCAGACUCCUACGGGAGGCAGCAGUGGGGAAUUUUGGACAAUGGGCGCAAGCCUGAUCCAGCAAUGCCGCGUGCAGGAUGAAGGCCUUCGGGUUGUAAACUGCUUUUGUACGGAACGAAACGGCCCUUUCUAAUACAGGGAGCUAAUGACGGUACCGUAAGAAUAAGCACCGGCUAACUACGUGCCAGCAGCCGCGGUAA
This 500-nucleotide ribosomal RNA is filed under the name uncultured bacterium. Its description in RNAcentral is "partial 16S ribosomal RNA". It matches the Rfam family "Bacterial small subunit ribosomal RNA", at positions 30 to 523 of the family's 1533-position model. The record is from RNAcentral.